This 1341-nucleotide ribosomal RNA is filed under the name uncultured bacterium. Its description in RNAcentral is "partial 16S ribosomal RNA". It matches the Rfam family "Bacterial small subunit ribosomal RNA", at positions 28 to 1381 of the family's 1533-position model. The record is from RNAcentral.
GACGAACUCUGGCGGCGUGCUUAACACAUGCAUGUCGAACGGUAAGGCUCCAGCUUGCUGGGGUACACGAGUGGCGAACGGGUGAGUAACACGUGGGUGACCUGCCCUGCACUUCGGGAUAAGCCUGGGAAACUGGGUCUAAUACCGGAUAGGACCGCACCGUGAGGGUGUGGUGGAAAGUUUUUUCGGUGUGGGAUGGGCCCGCGGCCUAUCAGCUUGUUGGUGGGGUAAUGGCCUACCAAGGCGGCGACGGGUAGCCGGCCUGAGAAGGUGGACGGCCACAUUGGGACUGAGACACGGCCCAGACUCCUACGGGAGGCAGCAGUGGGGAAUAUUGCACAAUGGGCGGAAGCCUGAUGCAGCGACGCCGCGUGGGGGAUGACGGCCUUCGGGUUGUAAACUCCUUUCACCAUCGACGAAGGGUUUCUGACGGUAGAUGGAGAAGAAGCACCGGCUAACUACGUGCCAGCAGCCGCGGUAAUACGUAGGGUGCGAGCGUUGUCCGGAAUUACUGGGCGUAAAGAGCUCGUAGGUGGUUUGUCGCGUCGUCUGUGAAAUUCCGGGGCUUAACUCCGGGCGUGCAGGCGAUACGGGCAUAACUUGAGUACUGUAGGGGAGACUGGAAUUCCUGGUGUAGCGGUGAAAUGCGCAGAUAUCAGGAGGAACACCGGUGGCGAAGGCGGGUCUCUGGGCAGUAACUGACGCUGAGGAGCGAAAGCAUGGGGAGCGAACAGGAUUAGAUACCCUGGUAGUCCAUGCCGUAAACGGUGGGCGCUAGGUGUGGGUUUCCUUCCGCGGGAUCCGUGCCGUAGCUAACGCAUUAAGCGCCCCGCCUGGGGAGUACGGCCGCAAGGCUAAAACUCAAAGGAAUUGACGGGGGCCCGCACAAGCGGCGGAGCAUGUGGAUUAAUUCGAUGCAACGCGAAGAACCUUACCUGGGCUUGACAUAUACAGGAUCGCGCCAGAGAUGGUGUUUCCCUUGUGGCUUGUAUACAGGUGGUGCAUGGUUGUCGUCAGCUCGUGUCGUGAGAUGUUGGGUUAAGUCCCGCAACGAGCGCAACCCUUGUCUUAUGUUGCCAGCACGUUGUGGUGGGGACUCGUAAGAAACUGCCGGGGUUAACUCGGAGGAAGGUGGGGAUGACGUCAAAUCAUCAUGCCCCUUAUGUCCAGGGCUUCACACAUGCUACAAUGGUCGGUACAGUGGGUUGCCAGUCCGUGAGGGCGAGCUAAUCCCGCAAAGCCGGUCUCAGUUCGGAUCGGGGUCUGCAACUCGACCCCGUGAAGUCGGAGUCGCUAGUAAUCGCAGAUCAGCAACGCUGCGGUGAAUACGUUCCCGGGCCU